AAGAACCAAACCCUCAAACAUCAGUGAUCCUGUGAGGUUUUUGCCUUGUGGAACUUUCCUUAAAAUAACUACAUCAGGAGAUUGUCCAGUUGGGGGUGGAGGAAGAGGAAGACCUGAAAGCAGAGUCUUGGGGCUCCUCAAGGAUUCGGAUGUGGAAACCGAGGCAUGGCUGGGUUGCAAACCCAGUCUAUCUGCAUACUGUUAGUCAUGUGCUACUGCCUCAGGGAUCCAGUUCCUCAAGAGGAUGGCUGGAGUCACCAGUGGCUGGGAGACUGAGAGGUCCCCAAGAGGCUACUGGAAGGUUCUGUCCCAGGUGGAACCUGUUACUUGCCCAGGAAUCCCAGCCUUGGGAACAA
Lontra canadensis (Northern American river otter) is the source of this 356-nucleotide long non-coding RNA. RefSeq lists it as uncharacterized. Lineage: Eukaryota; Metazoa; Chordata; Mammalia; Carnivora; Mustelidae. The transcript is spliced from 3 exons. The record is from RefSeq and is a predicted model, not a curated record.